Molecule: long non-coding RNA, 269 nt
Filed under: Elaeis guineensis (African oil palm)
Lineage: Eukaryota; Viridiplantae; Streptophyta; Magnoliopsida; Arecales; Arecaceae
Description: long non-coding RNA (EGUI_LNC032316)
Source: RNAcentral
UUCAAUUUCUUACUUGUUUCCCACCUUUUGGAUCCUUUUAUAGCUUUAAGAAAUAGAGAAAAAUAUUCUAGACUGAAAAAGAGCCGUUAGACCACAUUAAAUGAGCAUUAAAAGCACUUAAAACGGGUUAAAAACUAGCCGUUGCGGAAAAAUUCCGUCACAGGGGUCGACUCAUGGGUCGACUCAUGCCUGGGGGUCGACUCAUGGGUCGACCUCUGUGGAAGAAUACCAGAAAAUAGGGUUCUGUAAUUUUUGGCCUAAAAACUGCA